RNAcentral lists this ribosomal RNA (424 nucleotides) under Verrucomicrobiota bacterium. RNAcentral describes it as "Verrucomicrobia bacterium partial 16S ribosomal RNA". It matches the Rfam family "Bacterial small subunit ribosomal RNA", at positions 355 to 776 of the family's 1533-position model. Lineage: Bacteria; Pseudomonadati; Verrucomicrobiota. The record is from RNAcentral.
UGAGGAAUAUUGGUCAAUGGACGAGAGUCUGAACCAGCCAAGUAGCGUGCAGGAUGACGGCCCUAUGGGUUGUAAACUGCUUUUGUUUGGGAAUAAUCGACAUUACGUGUAAUGUUUUGCAUGUACCAUUCGAAUAAGGACCGGCUAAUUCCGUGCCAGCAGCCGCGGUAAUACGGAAGGUCCAGGCGUUAUCCGGAUUUAUUGGGUUUAAAGGGAGUGUAGGCGGUUGGUUAAGCGUGUUGUGAAAUGUAGAUGCUCAACAUCUGACUUGCAGCGCGAACUGGCUGACUUGAGUACACACAACGUAGGCGGAAUUCAUGGUGUAGCGGUGAAAUGCUUAGAUAUUGGGAGGAACACCAGUAGCGAAGGCGGCUUUCUGGACUGCAACUGACACUGAGGCACGAAAGCGUGGGUAGCAAACAGG